AUGCCCGGGAGCAGCGAUCAGCAAUCAGAAGUGGCCCUUAGUUAUCACUUCAUGACACCCAGAGCUAAGAUGGAACGUCUGUGCCAGGACUUAAUGAUCACCUGUUUCUCAAGAAGACAGCUACAGCAGCUAGAAUGAGCCCUAUGAUUCAGUGAGUUUUGCCAAGAGAGAUGGGGAGUGUUUGCUGUACCUUACAGGUAGACAAGCUGAGGAUUAGCACCAAUUCACAGUGCUGGUAAGUGGCAGAGAUGCUUGUGCCAAACUUGCUGUACCCAGUGCUCCCCACCACAUUUCUGGGAAGUAGAGGCUUC
RNAcentral lists this long non-coding RNA (311 nucleotides) under Vulpes vulpes (red fox). RNAcentral describes it as "lncRNA (ENSVVUG00000019960.1)". The record is from RNAcentral. Lineage: Eukaryota; Metazoa; Chordata; Mammalia; Carnivora; Canidae.